GGAUGUGUGGGUGAUCUGGUUGUGACAUCUAUCACCCCAUUGAUUGCCAGGGUGGAUUCAGCUGAUCUGGCUGGCUAGGUGGGUGACCCCUUCCUUCCUCAUUGCUCCUUGUGCAUCCCUCCCGAAGCUGUGCACUUGGUCAAAGAGGACGACUAUCCCCAAUAGAGGAGGACUGGUCUCAGUCAAGGGUAUACCAGUAGCUGUGCUCCCCUGCUAGAACAUCCAAACAA
Molecule: long non-coding RNA, 230 nt
Filed under: Cervus elaphus hippelaphus
Lineage: Eukaryota; Metazoa; Chordata; Mammalia; Artiodactyla; Cervidae
Rfam family: 7SK RNA
About the family: 7SK was discovered as an abundant small nuclear RNA in the mid-70s but a possible function has only recently been suggested. Two independent studies have found that 7SK RNA binds the CDK9/cyclin T complex (known as elongation factor P-TEFb).
Source: RNAcentral